GGGUCCUUAGCUCAGUUGGCUAGAGCGCUUCCUUGACGUGGAAGAGGUCAGAGGUUCGAGUCCCCUAGGACCCACCA
Molecule: transfer RNA, 77 nt
Filed under: bacterium
Lineage: Bacteria
Also listed under: 3 other names
Description: tRNA-Val
Rfam family: tRNA
About the family: Transfer RNA (tRNA) molecules are approximately 80 nucleotides in length. Their secondary structure includes four short double-helical elements and three loops (D, anti-codon, and T loops).
Source: RNAcentral